UAAGGGUUCGGAACGUGGGCCCUGGUUUUGAGCGACAGACCUCCCCCACCUCAACAUCUGCCGCAAAGGAGCAAGGUUUACGCUCUCUGAGACCUAACCUCAUGCUCUGCAUCCAGGAGGACACAGGGCUGGGGCCUGGGGCAGCUGUCGUCUUGCGGAAAGAAGCUGGGCCCGACUUCAGAAUUCCAGGGAUGGAGUGCUGGGCCAGUCUGCCGCUAGCUUUGUGAGGCCACUCAGAUCACCGGCCAUCUCUGAGCCUGGUUUCUCAAGCAUGCAAAAUGGGAGGCACAAGGAACACUUACUGGGGUCCUCCCCAACACGUGCUGCUGUGCUUCUAGAAUGACUGGAGAAACUGCUUUGGAGGCAGAAAAUGCUAUGUCCCCAUCUCGAAUUAAACCUGUGCUUUGUCCAAAA
This 414-nucleotide long non-coding RNA is filed under the name Equus asinus (donkey). RNAcentral's name for it is "lncRNA (ENSEASG00005024179.1)". Lineage: Eukaryota; Metazoa; Chordata; Mammalia; Perissodactyla; Equidae. The record is from RNAcentral.